RNAcentral lists this ribosomal RNA (1687 nucleotides) under Salmonella enterica subsp. enterica serovar Paratyphi A. Its description in RNAcentral is "16S ribosomal RNA". Lineage: Bacteria; Pseudomonadati; Pseudomonadota; Gammaproteobacteria; Enterobacterales; Enterobacteriaceae. The record is from RNAcentral.
UUUUCAUCAGACAAUCUGUGUGAGCACUGCAAAGUACGCUUCUUUAAGGUAAGGAGGUGAUCCAACCGCAGGUUCCCCUACGGUUACCUUGUUACGACUUCACCCCAGUCAUGAAUCACAAAGUGGUAAGCGCCCUCCCGAAGGUUAAGCUACCUACUUCUUUUGCAACCCACUCCCAUGGUGUGACGGGCGGUGUGUACAAGGCCCGGGAACGUAUUCACCGUGGCAUUCUGAUCCACGAUUACUAGCGAUUCCGACUUCAUGGAGUCGAGUUGCAGACUCCAAUCCGGACUACGACGCACUUUAUGAGGUCCGCUUGCUCUCGCGAGGUCGCUUCUCUUUGUAUGCGCCAUUGUAGCACGUGUGUAGCCCUGGUCGUAAGGGCCAUGAUGACUUGACGUCAUCCCCACCUUCCUCCAGUUUAUCACUGGCAGUCUCCUUUGAGUUCCCGGCCGGACCGCUGGCAACAAAGGAUAAGGGUUGCGCUCGUUGCGGGACUUAACCCAACAUUUCACAACACGAGCUGACGACAGCCAUGCAGCACCUGUCUCACGGUUCCCGAAGGCACAUUCUCAUCUCUGAAAACUUCCGUGGAUGUCAAGACCAGGUAAGGUUCUUCGCGUUGCAUCGAAUUAAACCACAUGCUCCACCGCUUGUGCGGGCCCCCGUCAAUUCAUUUGAGUUUUAACCUUGCGGCCGUACUCCCCAGGCGGUCUACUUAACGCGUUAGCUCCGGAAGCCACGCCUCAAGGGCACAACCUCCAAGUAGACAUCGUUUACGGCGUGGACUACCAGGGUAUCUAAUCCUGUUUGCUCCCCACGCUUUCGCACCUGAGCGUCAGUCUUUGUCCAGGGGGCCGCCUUCGCCACCGGUAUUCCUCCAGAUCUCUACGCAUUUCACCGCUACNNNNNNNNNNNNNNNNNNNNCCUGGAAUUCUACCCCCCUCUACAAGACUCAAGCCUGCCAGUUUCGAAUGCAGUUCCCAGGUUGAGCCCGGGGAUUUCACAUCCGACUUGACAGACCGCCUGCGUGCGCUUUACGCCCAGUAAUUCCGAUUAACGCUUGCACCCUCCGUAUUACCGCGGCUGCUGGCACGGAGUUAGCCGGUGCUUCUUCUGCGGGUAACGUCAAUUGCUGCGGUUAUUAACCACAACACCUUCCUCCCCGCUGAAAGUACUUUACAACCCGAAGGCCUUCUUCAUACACGCGGCAUGGCUGCAUCAGGCUUGCGCCCAUUGUGCAAUAUUCCCCACUGCUGCCUCCCGUAGGAGUCUGGACCGUGUCUCAGUUCCAGUGUGGCUGGUCAUCCUCUCAGACCAGCUAGGGAUCGUCGCCUUGGUGAGCCGUUACCUCACCAACAAGCUAAUCCCAUCUGGGCACAUCUGAUGGCAAGAGGCCCGAAGGUCCCCCUCUUUGGUCUUGCGACGUUAUGCGGUAUUAGCCACCGUUUCCAGUAGUUAUCCCCCUCCAUCAGGCAGUUUCCCAGACAUUACUCACCCGUCCGCCACUCGUCAGCAAAGCAGCAAGCUGCUUCCUGUUACCGUUCGACUUGCAUGUGUUAGGCCUGCCGCCAGCGUUCAAUCUGAGCCAUGAUCAAACUCUUCAAUUUAAAAGUUUGAUGCUCAAUGAAUUAAACUUCGUAAUGAAUUACGUGUUCACUCUUGAGACUUGGUAUUCAUUUUUCGU